AAUUUUUAUCACUAAUUAGUUUUAUUAAAUAUUAUAUGCUUAAAAUAUUAUGGGAUAAUUUUUAUUACUACUAUGAAGAGAAAACUAAAGUUUGAGUCUGAAUUUGCAAUUAAAAUUACCUCAAUUUUAAAUAGUCUAAAGUUUGCAAAUUUUAUAGAUUAAAAGAAAAUAAAAUACUGAAUGGAAUAUUUUGACAUAUAAAAAUAACUUCAGGAAAAACUAUUUCAAUUAAAUGUAAGCAAACAUACACAUUUUUUCAUUUUGAAAAAGGGGGGUUGAAACUCUCCAAUAUACUACCAGUCAUUAAAACGACUUUUUAGAAAAAAGUGACCGUACGAAACUCUGACGACAGGGCAAAAACUAAAGAAGACAUAUUUGUCUUUAAGUUAAGACCAUUUUUAGCCGUGUGUUAUUUGGGGAGAUUAAACUCGCGAUCUAGACGACUUUUUACACUUCUGUCACCGCACUAAUAU
RNAcentral lists this long non-coding RNA (473 nucleotides) under Mytilus galloprovincialis (Mediterranean mussel). Lineage: Eukaryota; Metazoa; Mollusca; Bivalvia; Mytilida; Mytilidae. The record is from RNAcentral.